Molecule: RNA transcript, 8519 nt
Organism: Centropristis striata (black sea bass)
Lineage: Eukaryota; Metazoa; Chordata; Actinopteri; Perciformes; Serranidae
Exons: 2
Source: RefSeq, a predicted model, not a curated record
GGCUCUCACCUUUCUUGCCUACCACCAUGAGGGGGUUGAUUUUGACAGGGUCUCACUUGAUAGAGUACUUCAACAGGGGAAUGCACUCUAUGAAGGUAUCAAACAGCAGCUUCUGUUGGACAAAAGGUUCCAAAGCAACCACUUGACCAUAGAGGAGAUGCCAAAACAGGUUUUUACUGUUUCAAACACCUACGAUGUUCUCUUGGACAUGUCGGACUUGAGAGUUGGUUUCUUGAAUGUCGUCGAUGGAAGUCCUCGAAGCAGAAGAGGAAUGUGCCUUGCUGAACAACUGGAGAGCCUCUCUCAAGGUGUCAGCUGUGCUUUUCUCAUUGUCACUCCUGAGUGCAUUGCAGUGUUUCGUGACAGGUUCGGACACUACGGGUUGUUUGAUUCCCACUCAAGGUCUGCAAGAGGUUUGCCUCACCAUGAUGGAAAGGCGAUCAUGCUGACUUUCUCUAAUUUGAGUGACAUGGUUGAUCAUUUGCUUGUGCUUUUUAAAGACCGUGGUUCUUAUGGCAGCUAUGAGUUCAUGCCAGUUUCCUUUGUAAGUGACCACAGUGUCAGUGAGAUGCCUGGGCAGUCAGAGGAUGUGACCAUCAGGCAACCUACAACAGCAGUACCAGAAGUGAAAAUCUUUGAGGAAGCCUAUAACAGACAGCCAAAAAAUCUGGACUUGAGUCAGCGAGUCAACACAACAAAGUGCACAACAAAAACGGAGACGGAUUUUUCCAGACUGACCAAAGAGAGGCGAAGAAAGGCUAUGCGUAGAGAAACUGGGGGCAAAAAGCAAAAUGUACCACUAGGAGAUGACACAAGCAGCACUAAAAGAGUGCAACAUGAAAAGGAGAAAUAUGCCAGCAGUUUAAAGUUUCGGCUGACAAAAGUGCAGGCAAUGAAGAAUAAGUAUGCGAAAGAACGUCAUCACCGCAAACUAAAGAAGCAGUACAUCAAAAGAAGAUACAACAUGGAUCCUGAUUUUCAGAGAAAACAAAAACAGUACCUGAAGGAGAGGUGCAGCAGCAAUCCUGAUUUAAGAAGCAAACGGAAAAUUCAAAUGCAAAAGUACUUGAGGGACAGGUACAGCACCGAUUCGAAUUUCAAAUGCAAACAAAAGGACUACAUGAAGGACAGGUACCGUGCUGAUCUGGAUUUCAAAUGCAAACAAAAGGACUACAUGAAGGACUACAUCAAGGACAGGUACCGUGCUGAUCUGGAUUUCAAAUGCAAACAAAAGGACUACGUCAAGGACAGGUACAGCACUGAUCUGGAUUUUCAGAGUCAACAGAAAAAGUAUGUGAGAGAAAAAUAUCGCAACAACCCAGACUUCAGACUGCAUCACCUACAACACUGCAGUCGCAACAGAAGGGACAGACUGGCUAAAAAUGCUGCACUUCGUAUUCGCUACAAGUUGCAGUGUGCACUCAGGAUCAAGAGGAAAUACAUGGACAUCGUAAACCACCGCCAGGAAACUCCACACCCUGUGGUCAACCCUGUGAUGGAAGAAGCCAUAUCUACAUUCCGGGAAAGGAUUCGACAUGGGCCCACACAUGUCUGCACAGUGUGUCACAGAGCUCUGUUCCCCAAUCAGGUAAGGCAUUGCAACAGAGCCAAAUAUGUCAAAAACAUUUGCGUGGUGGCUGCUUGCUUGACAGGUAAGUAUGUCCACGUAUGUGACACUGAAUGCUCAGCCCCAUGCACCGUUCCACAAGACAGGAUGCGUGAAUGGAUCUGCCACACCUGUCACAGCCACUUGUCUAGAGGAAGAAUGCCGUCCAUGGCAGCUGCGAACAACCUGGAGCUUGCACCCAUUCCCCCGGAGCUCGAAGACCUGAAUGUGCUGGAGAGACAAUUGAUUGCAAAGAUUUUACCGUUUGCGAAGAUAGUUGCCUUGCCCAAAGGACGUCAAAGAGCAGUACACGGAGCAGUUGUGUGUGUACCAUCAGAGCUGGAAGCCACAGUCAAUGCUCUUCCGAGGCCGAGCGCCGAAGCCCAGCUGUUACAAGUAAAGUUGAAGCGCAACAUCAAAUACAAGGGCUAUCAGCACUUCUUCACAGUCAACAUGAAGAAUGUGCUAGCAGGGCUAAGGAUACUGAAAGAGACUCACUCAGAAUACACCAACAUUGAGAUAGAUGACUGCGCUGAAUUUGAAAGUCUCGAAGACCUGCCAGUUGACGAAGAGGAACCACAGGAAGCCCCAGAUGCUGCACAGCCCGAGGAGCAGAAGAGCAGAAGAGGAGAAGAAGACAUGGAACCCGUUGCAGGCACAUCUCGUGAAAAGCAGCCCAAGGAUGUGGACAAGGAUAAGGAAAAGGAGGACCUCAGGCCUGGUCUGGCCUUGGACACGUGCAUGCAGCCUCCUGACAUAGCGCAGGAGGUUCUGUCAUAUGGGGAUGGCAUAUUUAGCAUUGCUCCUGCCCAAGGAAACAAACCCGUCGGUUUCUUUGCCAUUCCGAAGCUUGAAGCCAUGGCCUUUCCUGUUCAGUUCCCAACUGGAGAGAACACCUUGGAUGAGCGCAGAAGAAUCCUUCUGUCCCCAAGCGCUUACUUCAACACAAGGCUUCUCUGUGUGGAUAUCCGGUUUGCAAGGGACCAGAGUUACCUGUUUUUUUCACAAUUUGUAACGGAAACCCACAUGGCUAGGAACAGCAUGUCCAUUCAAACGCGCAAGGGGAAAAAAUUCACCAAAGAUGGGAGGAAAAUUUCUAACAAGAUGCUUCAGGACAAAGACGAGCUGGAACAACUAAUCCAAACGAAGGAGGCGACCCGUUUCAUGCAACCCCUCAGAGGCACUCCAGCGUACUGGGAGAAAACGCUACGAGAUCUUCACGCCAUGGUCAGACAGUUGGGCAAGCCGACGUUUUUCAUCACCUUUUCCGCCGCGGAAAUGAGAUGGCCUGAAGUCAUUAACAUAAUCAAAGCUCAACAAGGAGAGGAAGGGGACUUCUCACAGCUGGACUGGAAUGAGAAAUGCGAGAUUCUCCACAGCAAUCCUGUAACUGUGAUGCGCCUGUUUGAGAAGCGAGUGGACGCGCUCAUGACAGAUCUGCUCCUGUCACCUGCACAACCCAUCGGUCCAGUGGAAGAUUACUUUUAUCGGGUGGAGUUUCAAGCCAGAGGAAGUCCACAUAUUCAUAUGCUAGUUUGGAUAAAAGAUGCCCCCGAGAUAGAGGAUCCUGAGUGCUGCCCAGAAGUCGUCAACUUCAUCGACCGUUACAUAUGCUGCCAGAUGCCUGAUGAGGAAUCGGACCCAGAGCUCCACAAAAUAGUGUCUGAGGUUCAAGUUCACAGCCGCAACCACUCCAAAACAUGCAGGAAAGGUAAUGUAUCAUGCCGAUUUGGUUUUCCAAAACUGCCCAUGGAAAAAACGAUAAUCGCCUGUGCACCCUGGGAGGCUGAUGAUGAUGAUGAUGAUGAUGAGAAGAAAGAUGAUGCCAAGAAAAAAGACCAAGACUGUGGAAAAAACGAUGUUGAUGGACAGAAAAAAUGUGGGGAAAAAUCCAAGGAUUCCAGGAAGAGUCAGAAGAAGUCACAGAAGAAAUUCAUAGCAAAGCAGCAACGGAUCGCCAAGGAAAAGCUGAAACCGGUGAGAGACCUUCUCAUGGACCCAAAUGCCUCUUUUAAGGACCUGACGGAAUUGUUGGAGAAAUGUAACAUGCUCCAUGAAGAAUACAGAUACAACGUUGGAUGCCUCACCACUGGAAUGGUGGUCGUCAACAAGCGUGACCCCAAGGACUGCUGGGUCAAUGGAUACAACCCCGAUCUGCUGCGAGCGUGGAACGCCAACAUGGACAUCCAGUACGUUAUUGACGAUUUCAGUUGCAUCAUGUACAUGAUGUCAUAUGUCUCCAAGCCGGAGCAUGAGAUGACAGAGUUCCUUAACUCUGUCGUUCAGGAAGUACGGAAAUCGGACGUCAACAAACAGGAUGAGAUGAACCAGAUUAUGCAGGCGUACGCAAAACAUCGAGAGGUCAGCGCUCAGGAGUCUGUGGCAAGGGUAUGCAGCCUACCACUGAAAAAGUGCUCACGUUCGGUUAUUUUCAUACAGACUGAUGAGGACGGUAUGAGAAUGAGUCACCCGAUGAGCAGGCUGCAGAACAUGGCUGCAGACGAAGAGGACGUAUGGAUGUCAGGAUUGCCGGAGAAAUACGCGAUGAGGCCUGAUGCACGCCAGUUUGAGUACAUGUGUCUGGCUGAAUUUGCGUCGGAGUACAGGGUCCUCUACGGCCGGCAACGUGAAUCAGCUAAUGCCAUUCCCCUCCAGAAGGACCACGGAUUUAUCCAGAAGAGGACAUCGGGAAAACCUGCCAUCAUCCGAUUUACUCGUUUCUCAGAGAAGAAACAUCCCGAAAAGUUUUACAGACGGCUCCUAAAACUGUACUGCCCACACAGAGAAGAUGCCGAUCUGAAGACGGAACGCCACCCGACCUACGAAGCAUAUUAUAAAAGUGGCUGUCUGGGGCAAUUGCCAGUGAAAGGGUACGUCGACUUUAACAGGAAGCGCUAUGAAGGAGAAGGGAAGAAAAUCGACAAAGCCAUCGAACGGCUUCAAAAGGAGGGACCCGUCAUCAACGCGUGGAACAGUUUUGCACCGGAGGUUGAAUUGGAUCGUUUGGAGUGUGUCGCCCAGCGAGAAGCCAUAAGCCGUGACGAGGAGGAACAAGAGCAGCUUCCAGAUUUUCAACUCCAAGGUGGGAGCAGUGGAGCCAUGCCAGGAAUCCAGGCGCCGGAAUUGAGCCCCGACUUCGUGAGGAACAUGUUUCGAAGCCUCAACGAGACGCAAUCGUCUGCCUUCUACGCCAUCCGCGAAUGGUGUUGGAAACGCGUCUGGGGUAAGUAUCCUGAACCAUUUUUUUACUUCAUCUCUGGGGGAGCUGGUUGUGGCAAGUCCCAUCUGAUCAAGUGUGCGUAUCAAGAGGCCACCAAGAUUCUGCGCCAACUUCCCAGGUUCCGCAAUGAAGGCGACAUGUCUCAGCCUUCAGUGCUGUUGGCAGCGUUUACUGGCACCGCCGCUUUUAACAUCUCUGGCAAAACACUGCACUCACUGUUGAAGCUGCCGAGAAGUCUGAAACCUCCGUAUCAAGGACUCGGAAACACACUGGAUGACGUGAGGGCAGCACUGUCCAAUGCGGAGAUCUUGAUCAUCGACGAAAUAUCCAUGGUAUCUAAGGAGCUCUUUUCUUAUGUCCACUGGAGAUUCCAGCAAAUCAAAGGAAACAGGAGACCAUUUGGAGGGAUGUCUGUCCUUGCAGUUGGAGACUUCUAUCAAUUGCCGCCCCUUGGUAGAGCCAAACCACUAUGCGUCUUGGAGGAUGAUGUGCUCAACCUCUGGCAAGAUUUCAAGUUGGUCAACCUGACGGAGAUAAUGCGGCAGAAAGACGAUCGCACUUUUGCAGAGCUCUUGAACAGGAUUAGAACCAGGAAUAAGAAGGAUCCUCUCAGCGCAGAUGAUGAAGCUCUGCUCGCACAGGCCGUCGUGGAAGUUGGAGAUUGUCCGUCCGACGCCCUUCAUAUCUUUGCCACCAACAAAGAGGUCGACGAGCACAACGUUGCAACUUUAACCGCCUUAAAGUUACAAGUUGUAAACAUUCCAGCACAGGACUACACAAAAGAUCUGCGAACCGGAGAAAUGGAAUUGGCGACUGGUCUCAUGAAAGGCAAUAAAAGGGAUUUACCUGACAACCUGCAAGCAGCACAAGGAGCACGAGUCAUGGUGAUCAGGAAUCUCGAUAUUGAGGACGGGAUGGUAAACGGCACUUUUGGAACAAUCGGCAAUAUUGUCACCACCACCGAACACGGACAGACCGUGGUCAAGGUCAUCGGACUCGAAUUGGAUAAUCACAAGGCAGGCCAGAAAUUCCGCAAGAAGAUUCAAGGGGCAGAGGAUAACUUGGUGUACGUGGAAAGGUUCGAGGAAAGCAUGAGCAGAAGAGGGGUGGUUCGACGGCAGUUUCCAAUGAAGCUGGCCUUCGGCUGUACAGCUCAUAAAGUGCAAGGAAUGACUGUGGAUUCUGCUGUGGUGUCCUUAAAGCGCAUUUUUGAACCCGGAAUGGCCUAUGUCGCCCUGAGCAGGACGACCUCACUUCAAGGACUAAGGAUCAUAAACUAUGAAGAACAGAAGAUCUAUGCCGACCCUAAAAUCACCACAGCAAUGGAGACUAUGAGUCACGCCUCGUUCGAGAGUGCAAGACCGCUGUUGCACUAUGUCAAAACCGCAGACCACACCGGUCCAACUUUAAAAAUAGUCCAUCAUAAUUGUCAGGGACUUCCGUCGCACAUGGAUGACAUCAGGACCCACCAUGAAUUCAGACUUGCCGAUGUCCUGUGCAUCACUGAAUCCCAUCUGUCGGGAUCAUUUGUUUCUCCAGACUUCCAGCUGGAGGGAUAUGAGAUGUUUGCGCGCAACAGAAAUGUCUCAUAUUCAAACAGAGCGGAUAUGGCUAUGAAAGAUGGAGGUGGAGUUGCGGUGUAUUACAGGAACAGUCUGCAAGCAGAGUCCAGGAGGUACUUUCAAAAUGUGCCCGACCUUGAAUUCGCCGUCGUCAAGGUUGAGGGCCCUGUCAGAGCAUUGAUAGCCACUGUGUACAGACCACCAAAUAUCCAUCUUGACAUGUUUCUUCAAAACAUGCAAAGCCUCUUGGACUCUUUAGAGAUGAUGGGUUGCCAGCCUGUAGUGGUUUGUGGAGACUUUAAUGAAGACUUGCUUUCCAAAGGGAAGAAAGCCAUACAGGAGUUGUUUCUGUCCAGAGGCUAUAGCCAGCUUGUUUCCACUGCAACGACCGAAAAGCAGACACUGAUUGAUCAUAUUUACAUAUCGCAACCAGAAUGUUGCCUUCAAUCAGGUGUGCUGCAAUCGUAUUACAGUUAUCAUGAUCCAGUGUACUGCGUUUUGACUUCACCUUAAGCGGUAGGUAUGUUGUUGCAUUCGGAAAAGGUGGCCAGCCCAGAUGAAAAGGUAGGUAUAUGGUAAGUAUUUUCAUUGAAAUGUCGUCCUUGAUAUCUGGAUGCCUAUGGUGAAUAUGGCCUAGGGUCCAACUCAUGGUGGUUUUGGUUGAGAAAGGUUUCCUCUUGUGGUCUUUAUUGUGUAAAAGAGUCCUGGUAGGUAUGUUGUUGCAUUCUGAAAAGGUGACCAGCCCAGAUGAAAAGGUAGGUAUACGGUAGGUAUAUGGUAAGUAUUUUCAUUGAAAUGUCGUCCUUGGUAUCUGGAUGCCUAUGGUGAAUAUGGCCUGGGGUCCAACUCAUGGUGGUUUUGCUUGAGAAAGGUUUCUUCUUGUGGUCUUUAUUGUGUAAAAGAGUCCUUGUAGGUAUGUUGUUGCAAUCGGAAAAGGUGACCAGCCCAGAUGAAAAGGUAGGUAUACGGUAGGUAUAUGGUAAGUAUUUUCAUUGAAAUGUCGUCCUUGGUAUCUGGAUGCCUAUGGUGAAUAUGGCCUGGGGUCCAACUCAUGGUGGUUUUGGUUGAGAAAGAUUUUACUCUUGUGGUCUUUAUUGUGUAAAAGAGUCCUGGUAGGUAUGUUGUUGCUCUGGAAAAGGUGACCAGCCUAGAUGAAAAGGAAGGUAUACGGUAGGUAUAUGGUAAGUAUUUUCAUUGGAAUGUCGUCCUUGGUAUCUGGAUGCCAAUGGUGAAUAUGGCCUGGGGUCCAACUCAUGGUGGUUUUGGUUGAGAAAGGUUUCCUCUUGUGGUCUUUAUUGUGUAAAAUAGUCCUUGUAGGUAUGUUGUUGCAUUCUGAAAAGGUGACCAGCCCAGAUGAAAAGGUAGGUAUACAGUAGGUAUAUGGUAAGUAUUUUCAUCUCCCGAGCACCCACUCUCUGUUAUCGGUCUGUGUGUAUAUCUGUCAUCUGUUUUUGUCUGUGUGUGUGUGUGUGAGAGCGAGUGCGUCUGUCUGGGUGUGUGUGAGUGAGUGUGUCUCUGAUUGUGUGUCUGUGUGAGAGUGUGUCUGUCUGUGUGUGAGUGACUGUUUCUGUCUGUGAUUGUGUGUCUGAGUGAGAGUGAGUCUGUGUCUGUCUGUCUGUGUGUGUGUGUGUGUGUGUGUGUGAGAGAGCGAGUGCGUCUGUCUGGGUGUGUGUGUGAGUGAGUGUGUCUGUGAUUGUGUGUCUGUGUGAGAGUAUGUGUGUCUGUCUGUGUGUGUGAGUGACUGUUUCUGUCUGUGUGUCUGUCUGUGUGUGAGUGACUGUUUCUGUCUGUGAUUGUGUGUCUGAGUGAGAGUGAGUCUGUGUCUGUCUGUCUGUCUGAGUGUGUGUGUGUGUGUGUGUGUGUGUGUGAGAGCGAGUGCGUCUGUCUGGGUGUGUGUGUGUGAGUGUGUCUGUGAUUGUGUGUCUGUGUGAGAGUAUGUGUGUCUGUCUGUGUGUGUGAGUGAGUGACUGUUUCUGUCUGUGUGUCUGUCUGUGUGUGAGUGACAGUUUCUGUCUGUGAUUGUGUGUCUGAGUGAGAGUGAGUCUGUGUCUGUCUGUCUGAGUGUGUGUGUGUGUGUGUGUGUGUGUGUGUGUGUGAGAGCAAGUGUGUGUGAGAGUGUCUGUCUGUGAUU